CGCCAUCCCCCGCCGCGCGCCGCCGCUCGCCAUCCCACCCGCCGCCGCCGCUCGCCAUCCCUCCCCGCCGCCGCUCCCAAACCCUCAGCACGCCGCGCUCCGCCGUCGUCGCGUCCUCUGAUUCUCGCCUCACCGCCAGUCGCCAUCCCUCGCCGCUGCCGCCGCUCGGCAUCCCCGCUUGCUCCAUCGACGAUCUGCGCCGCCUCGAUCUCUGCUCGUGUAGAGCAUGCCUAUCCCCCGGCCGAUUCGCAGCGUGGCUGGAGAAGGGAGCUCGAGGCCUCGAGCGCUGCCGCCCAUUAAUCUCCCGAGCCCAAGUGCCGCCGGCCGAUUUGAGCCUGUCCUUCGCCGAUUCGAGCCAGUCCGCGCCGAUUCGUCAUCCUCCACAGGCCCUUCGUCCCAAGUUCGUCAGGCUGGAGGUCCUGCAGGUCCACUGCGGAGCUCGCUCACGCAGGCUCACGGCUGGAUCUCACACGGAUCCGGCAAGGACUGGUCCGGCAGCUCCCUGCUACGACGUUCUUAUCGGGUGGCUUUUCAUUGGAGGCAGUGGUGAGAUUGAAGCCUUAGGGGCUAGGUAAGAGGCCGAGAGCAAUGAGCUCCAAGGGUGUACAAAGGCGCGGCCAGGAUGACAAAUGCGGAAGAGAGACCUGGAGCGGAGAGAUACUGCAGACUUCGGGCCCACCGUCCCAGACCCUACUUCUUCAUCCCAGUGCUGAUUCCAUUUUGUGCUUACAUUGAUGCUUCAAGCAGUCGAUUUGCUUGUUUCUGCUGCGCAGCAACUGCUACAUGGCGCAGCCGAUGGCUUGCUCGGUGGGCAAGCUGCCUGACAGCCUUGCUGGCAGGGAUACUUAAUGAUGCGGGCAACACAGAUCUAGCGACAGCUAGCGCAUGAUUGAUGCUAGUGACGCAUCAUCUUGUGCAAGACCAAGAACAGCAACAUCGAAUCCGUACUGGACAAAGCACGAGAGAUAUGUUCUGCAAACUCCUUCAAGAACCACUCCAAGCUAGGUCCUCUCCUCCGCAUGGGGUUUUCACCUGGUUCACCGCACAUCGCACAAAACUGACGUUGGGGAGACGAACAGACGUUUAAUUGGAGAGAGGGUCAAAGCAUCUUCGACAGGCAUGACUAUGUGACUGCUCAACUAGAAGAUGACAUUGAACUUUCACCAUCUCAUAUCCAUCAGGUGCGGCUACGGGUGCAGUGGAACAUGGAGCAGUAAGCGAUGAUGUGGCCACAGGACAUAGUAUGUUCCUAUUGGGCGUGUGACUCUGCUGAACCUAUAGUAUCUUUAGCUAGCAAGUAUGCUUUAUUCUGAACUACCGUUAUCUGCCUGCAGCUUAAAUAUUGCAUCAGAGCAGUGGCAGAUCCAGAAACGGGCUCCGCCCCGGGCUAACUAAUAUAAGGCUUAAAAUCUUACUAGCCAUACACUAUUAGAUAUAA
Long non-coding RNA from Setaria italica (foxtail millet), 1438 nucleotides. RefSeq lists it as uncharacterized. The record is from RefSeq and is a predicted model, not a curated record. Lineage: Eukaryota; Viridiplantae; Streptophyta; Magnoliopsida; Poales; Poaceae. The transcript has 6 exons.